CUAGGAAUCUGCCUGGUAGUGGGGGACAACGUUUCGAAAGGAACGCUAAUACCGCAUACGUCCUACGGGAGAAAGCAGGGGACCUUCGGGCCUUGCGCUAUCAGAUGAGCCUAGGUCGGAUUAGCUAGUUGGUGAGGUAAUGGCUCACCAAGGCGACGAUCCGUAACUGGUCUGAGAGGAUGAUCAGUCACACUGGAACUGAGACACGGUCCAGACUCCUACGGGAGGCAGCAGUGGGGAAUAUUGGACAAUGGGCGAAAGCCUGAUCCAGCCAUGCCGCGUGUGUGAAGAAGGUCUUCGGAUUGUAAAGCACUUUAAGUUGGGAGGAAGGGCAGUAAAUUAAUACUUUGCUGUUUUGACGUUACCGACAGAAUAAGCACCGGCUAACUCUGUGCCAGCAGCCGCGGUAAUACAGAGGGUGCAAGCGUUAAUCGGAAUUACUGGGCGUAAAGCGCGCG
Molecule: ribosomal RNA, 458 nt
Filed under: Pseudomonas baetica
Lineage: Bacteria; Pseudomonadati; Pseudomonadota; Gammaproteobacteria; Pseudomonadales; Pseudomonadaceae
Description: bacterial SSU rRNA
Rfam family: Bacterial small subunit ribosomal RNA
Source: RNAcentral